Beta vulgaris subsp. vulgaris (sugar beet) is the source of this 412-nucleotide long non-coding RNA. RefSeq lists it as uncharacterized. The record is from RefSeq and is a predicted model, not a curated record. Lineage: Eukaryota; Viridiplantae; Streptophyta; Magnoliopsida; Caryophyllales; Amaranthaceae. The transcript is spliced from 3 exons.
AGUAUGUAGAGAAAUGCACCCAAAAGGUUAAUGAAUGAGUGUAAAACUCAUAAAGCUUGCUGUCCCUAAUCUAACACAACUGACCAACAAUUGGCCUUGUAAAAUUGUUCUAAUGCAGGUUGAAUUACCUGGCUAAUGCUAUCAAAUAAGACUGCAUCUUAUGAAGAUCUUUUCCUCUAUCCGUAAAGUUGUCGAAUGUUGUCUUAUCUACGAACCUCGAGUUAGGUACUCGGAAGCUGUUAUGAGUUCCCUUUACAAGUGAAUGAAGGGGCCUUAUGUUUAAGAAGAAGAUUGAUACCAGCCUUGUGGGUUCCAUGAAAGAUGGGACAAAAUAGUUAGUGGAUAGUACAGACAUCAAGCUUCUUGCAUCAUUUUGUGCAAGAGUAAUAUGCCAAGUAAUGGCAUAGGGAAU